This is a long non-coding RNA of Phlebotomus papatasi, 520 nucleotides long. RefSeq lists it as uncharacterized. Lineage: Eukaryota; Metazoa; Arthropoda; Insecta; Diptera; Psychodidae. The record is from RefSeq and is a predicted model, not a curated record. The transcript is spliced from 3 exons.
UCGGUCUCUUCUCACCAAAUUUCUUUGUGUUUUCCCAGGUUGGUGAUUCAUGAUAAAGCUAGAGCCCUAGCCUAUAGCAAUCAUAAUUAAUUCCCCGAUUUAUUUACCCAGGUACGUGAAGACGCCCCCUUUUUCCCGGUGUGGGUGGAACUAGUGCAGGUUUUAAGCACAUUUCUUUUUUCUUAUUUUUAAAGGUUGGUGAUUCAUGAUAAAGCUAGAGCCCUAGCCUAUAGCAAUCAUAAUUAAUUCCCCGAUUUAUUUACCCAGGUACGUGAAGACGCCCCCUUUUUCCCGGUGUGGGUGGAACUAGUGCAGGUUUUAAGCACAUUUCUUUUUUCUUAUUUUUAAAGGUUGGUGAUUCAUGAUAAAGCUAGAGCCCUAGCCUAUAGCAAUCAUAAUUAAUUCCCCGAUUUAUUUACCCAGGUACGUGAAGACGCCCCCUUUUUCCCGGUGUGGGUGGAACUAGUGCAGGUUUUAAGCACAUUUCUUUUUUCUUAUUUUUAAAGGUUGGUUUGUGCAC